UACGGAGGGUGCGAGCGUUAUCCGGAUUUACUGGGUUUAAAGGGUGUGUAGGCGGAUCUUUAAGUCAGUGGUGAAAUCUUCGGGCUCAACCCGGAAACUGCCAUUGAUACUAUUGGUCUUGAAUACUGUGGAGGUGAGCGGAAUGUGUCAUGUAGCGGUGAAAUGCUUAGAGAUGACACAGAACACCGAUUGCGAAGGCAGCUCACUACGCAGUUAUUGACGCUGAGGCACGAAAGCGUGGGGAUCAAACAGG
This 253-nucleotide ribosomal RNA is filed under the name uncultured bacterium. Its description in RNAcentral is "partial 16S ribosomal RNA". It matches the Rfam family "Bacterial small subunit ribosomal RNA", at positions 524 to 776 of the family's 1533-position model. The record is from RNAcentral.